Molecule: long non-coding RNA, 1360 nt
Organism: Anas platyrhynchos (mallard)
Lineage: Eukaryota; Metazoa; Chordata; Aves; Anseriformes; Anatidae
Source: RefSeq, a predicted model, not a curated record
GUGGAAUAGGGUGGAAUGAGCACUGGUCUAGUUCAGUCUUUGUGUUGGAGUGAGUAGUCAUGCAGGGGCUGUGUCCUCUUUUAUGUUCAGAUUUGUCAAGCCAAGGAGUACCUCUCCUGUUGUUUUUUUUCUACAUCUUUCAGGCACUGCAGCAGACCUGGAUAAAUUGUUCCAUUGACUUUGUAAUCUUAGAGAGGUCCACCUUAGCACCACUUCCACCACAUGGUGCCUUCAUAAUUUGUCUGAAACUUUACUUUUCCACCAUGCAAUUUGCCUAGGUCCCAGGGAUUUUGCCAUCACCUUCCAUUUCUUCAGCACUACUCUUCAGCAUAUUGAUUGCAUUUCCUUCAAUCUGCUGACUCUCCAAGGGCAUUACUUUGAAGGAGUCCCAAGGGGUCAGUAUAUAGGAAGGGGAGAGAAAAACUAGCAGAAUUUCCUAAGACCAUUCCUAAGACCAACGCAAACUGAAAUGGAUCAGUGGUCAGCCAUGUACUGCUGUGAACGAUGAUUCAGAAUAAAACUCUGAAAGCAGUGAUCAGAAGAAGUGAGAGAGCUUCCCAUUGGCAGAUCAGUUUUGCCGGCGUCAAAGUGUUUUGCAGGAGCGUGGUGAUGCAACAAAUUUUUUUGACAGACGAGUGUCACAACAAAUCAUUUUAACUUCCUCGUUUCAUUUUGCUAAUGUCAAAACGUUUAACUGCAAAUGAGGCAAAAACGUUUCAUUUUGACUGUAUCAUUACAUUUAAUUUUGUUUAGAUUGGCAUGUUAAUUUUGAUACCGUAUAUUUAUACCUAAUGUUGCGAAUUGUUAGGAAGCAGUAGGAAAGAACCCUCCUUUCCACGCUCUUGAAAUACAGACUUCAAAUAUUUGCAGAGUUGGUAUUUAAUCAGCAAUCGCAGUUUUCUCGCUGGGGUAAGUAUCCUACCCCACGGUGGCAAGAGGCAGCCUCCAAAUAUUUCUGCCAGGGCUGCUUUCCUCUGAGCCCCGUGUACCUGCUGAAUUCUGCGUGCCUUGUCACAUGUAAUUAGCAGCUGUUGAGUGAAUUGAUCGGUUAAUUUCCAUCUCGCACUCAGAUGCAUUUAAUCCAUUAGCUGAUGAUUUGCAGAGAUUUUUUUUCUUUCCCGAAUAUUUCCUCACCUGUGUUUUAUCAAUAGUUAAAUUGAUUGGGUCACCGUUACUCACUGCUUGUCCAAGCCCUGUUUCUUUGUUUGCCUCUUUCUUUACCAUGUGGUAUUUUAACGAGCAGUUGGCACCUCAGUUAUUUAAAUGUCAUCAUGAAUGUCACCUCUUUUCAUUUAUUUAUUAAUCAGCAUACCUACUAUUGAAUGGUAUUUCCAAAUAAAAGUCUUUCUUCCUUUCUGUA